GGGAUAGAAUUCCAGGAGUAGCGGUGAAAUGCGUAGAUAUCUGGAGGAAUACCAAAGGCGAAGGCAGUCCCCUGGUCCGAUACUGACACUGAGGUACGAAAGCGUGGGGAGCAAACAGGAUUAGAUACCCUGGUAGUCCACGCCCUAAACGAUGUCGAUUAGCCAUUGGAAGGACCCCUUUUCCUUUCAGUGACGUAGCUAACGCGUUAAAUCGACCGCCUGGGAAGUACGACCGCAAGGUUAAAACUCAAAGGAAUUGACGGGGACCUGAACAAGCGGUGAAUGAUGUGGAUUAAUUCGAUGCUACGCGAAGAACCUUACCUACCUUUGACAUGGCCAAAGUUCUACCGAGUGGCGGAAGUACUCGUAAGAGGAUUGGCGCACAGGUGCUGCAUGGUUGUCGUCAGUUCGUGUCGUGAGAUGUUGGGUUCAGCCCCGCAACGAACGCAACCCUUAUCUUUAAUUGCUCCUAUUUUAACAGCCACUUUAAAGAACCUGCCAAUGAUAAGUUGGAGGAAGGUGGGGAUCACGUCAAGUCCGCAUGGCCUUUAUAGGUAGGGCUUCACACGUCAUACAAUGGUUAGAACAAAGAGCUGCAAAUUCGUAAGAAGGAGCCAAUCUCACAAACCUAACCUCAGUUCGAAUUGCGGUCUGCAACUCGAGCGCAUGAAGCCGGAAUCGCUAGUAAUCGUGGAUCAGAAUGCCACGGUGAAUACGUUCUUAGGUCUU
This 729-nucleotide ribosomal RNA is filed under the name Candidatus Tremblayella phenacoccinincola. RNAcentral's name for it is "bacterial SSU rRNA". It matches the Rfam family "Bacterial small subunit ribosomal RNA", at positions 658 to 1382 of the family's 1533-position model. Lineage: Bacteria; Pseudomonadati; Pseudomonadota; Betaproteobacteria. The record is from RNAcentral.